GUGAAGGAUGGGCUUGCUGCAGAGACCAGGCUGCUAUGGAUGGCCUCCUGUGGAUAGGAGAAGGAGGCUGGCCAGCCUGAGUGAGGUUUAAUGAGUUGAAAAGACCCAUGGACAAUCCUAGGAUGAGAAGAUGAGGAAGCGGACCUUCUGGGGGAUCUAGAUUAGCCUCGUUUAUGAUAGACAUUACGUCCUUGUUCUGUCCCCUUAAUACACACGUGACAUAGACGUGACUCACGGCAGCAAGAACUUUCUUUACCAUAUCAUCUAGAAAAGAGCCUUCUAUCCAUGUUAAAGGCUUGUCCAGCUGAGCAGGUAUCUGCAGUUGCACUGCACCUGUUAUCCUUUGGAAAGACCCAGCCUCUCGAGCCUGGAAGCUACAGCAGCGAAUG
Sus scrofa (pig) is the source of this 389-nucleotide long non-coding RNA. RefSeq lists it as uncharacterized. Lineage: Eukaryota; Metazoa; Chordata; Mammalia; Artiodactyla; Suidae. The record is from RefSeq and is a predicted model, not a curated record.